GGCCAGACUCCUACGGGAGGCAGCAGUGGGGGAUAUUGCACAAUGGGGGAAACCCUGAUGCAGCGACGCCGCGUGGGUGAAGAAGUAUUUCGGUAUGUAAAGCCCUAUCAGCAGGGAAGAAAGAAGACGGUACCUGACUAAGAAGCCCCGGCUAACUACGUGCCAGCAGCCGCGGUAAUACGUAGGGGGCGAGCGUUAUCCGGAUUCACUGGGUGUAAAGGGAGCGUAGACGGCCGUGCAAGCCAGGAGUGAAAGCCCGGGGCCCAACCCCGGGACUGCUCUUGGAACUGUGCGGCUGGAGUGCGGGAGGGGCAGGCGGAAUUCCUGGUGUAGCGGUGAAAUGCGUAGAUAUCAGGAGGAACACCGGCGGCGAAGGCGGCCUGCUGGACCGUGACUGACGUUGAGGCUCGAGAGCGUGGGGAGCAAACAGGAUUAGAUACCCGUGUA
Molecule: ribosomal RNA, 447 nt
Filed under: uncultured bacterium
Lineage: Bacteria
Description: partial 16S ribosomal RNA
Rfam family: Bacterial small subunit ribosomal RNA
Source: RNAcentral